UUGUGUGAAUACAUAGCACAUUCGAGGUAGACGCAGAGAACUGAAACAUCUAAGUACCUGCAGGAAGAGAAAGAAAAUUCGAUUCCCUGAGUAGCGGCGAGCGAAACGGGAAAAGCCCAAACCAACAAGCUUGCUUGUUGGGGUUGUAGGACUCCAAUAUGGUCGUUCUUUCAGAUAGUCGAAUGACUUGGAAAAGUCAGUCAAAGAGGGUAAAAACCCCGUAGACGAAAUGUGGAAGACACCUAGGAGGAUCCUGAGUACGGCGGAACACGAGAAAUUCCGUCGGAAUCCGGGAGGACCAUCUCCCAAGGCUAAAUACUCCCUAGUGACCGAUAGUGAACCAGUACCGUGAGGGAAAGGUGAAAAGCACCCCGGAAGGGGAGUGAAAUAGAACCUGAAACCGUGUGCCUACAACAAGUCAAAGCCCGUUAAUGGGUGAUGGCGUGCCUUUUGUAGAAUGAACCGGCGAGUUACGAUUGCAUGCGAGGU
RNAcentral lists this ribosomal RNA (489 nucleotides) under Enterococcus faecium. RNAcentral describes it as "partial 23S ribosomal RNA". It matches the Rfam family "Bacterial large subunit ribosomal RNA", at positions 154 to 646 of the family's 2925-position model. Lineage: Bacteria; Bacillati; Bacillota; Bacilli; Lactobacillales; Enterococcaceae. The record is from RNAcentral.